GAUGAACGCUAGCGGCAGGCUUGAUACAUGCAAGUCGAGGGGCAGCAUGAUUGUAGCAAUACAAUUGAUGGCGACCGGCAAACGGGUGCGGAACACGUACACAACCUCCCAAUAAGUGGGGAAUAGCCCAGAGAAAUUUGGAUUAAUACCCCGUAACAUAUCGAUGUGGCAUCACAUUGUUAUUAUAGAUUUUUCGCUUAUUGAUGGGUGUGCGGCUGAUUAGAUAGUUGGCGGGGUAACGGCCCACCAAGUCUACGAUCAGUAGCUGAUGUGAGAGCAUGAUCAGCCACACGGGCACUGAGACACGGGCCCGACUCCUACGGGAGGCAGCGGUAAGGAAUAUUGGACAAUGGACGCAAGUCUGAUCCAGCCAUGCCGCGUGAAGGAUUAAGGUCCUCUGGAUUGUAAACUUCUUUUAUAAGGGACGAAAAAAGGCUUUUCUAAGUCGUCUGACGGUACCUUAUGAAUAAGCACCGGCUAACUCCGUGCCAGCCGCCGCAGUAA
This 504-nucleotide ribosomal RNA is filed under the name uncultured bacterium. Its description in RNAcentral is "partial 16S ribosomal RNA". It matches the Rfam family "Bacterial small subunit ribosomal RNA", at positions 28 to 523 of the family's 1533-position model. The record is from RNAcentral.